RNAcentral lists this ribosomal RNA (253 nucleotides) under uncultured bacterium. RNAcentral describes it as "partial 16S ribosomal RNA". It matches the Rfam family "Bacterial small subunit ribosomal RNA", at positions 524 to 776 of the family's 1533-position model. The record is from RNAcentral.
UACGUAGGGUGCAAGCGUUGUCCGGAAUUAUUGGGCGUAAAGAGCGCGCAGGCGGUCGUUCAAGUCGCGUGUGAAAGCCCCCGGCUCAACUGGGGAGGGUCACGCGAUACUGAUCGACUCGAAGGCAGGAGAGGGUAGUGGAAUUCCCGGUGUAGUGGUGAAAUGCGCAGAUAUCAGGAGGAACACCGGUGGCGAAGGCGGGUCUCUGGGCCGAUACUGACGCUGAGGAGCGAAAGCGUGGGGAGCGAACAGG